GGACGGGUGGCCGAGUGGUUUAAGGCGCACGCCUGGAAAGUGUGUGUACGUUUAUAGCGUACCGUGGGUUCGAAUCCCACCCCGUCCG
This 88-nucleotide transfer RNA is filed under the name Gemmatimonadaceae bacterium. RNAcentral's name for it is "tRNA-Ser". It matches the Rfam family "tRNA". From Rfam's summary of the family: Transfer RNA (tRNA) molecules are approximately 80 nucleotides in length. Their secondary structure includes four short double-helical elements and three loops (D, anti-codon, and T loops). Further hydrogen bonds mediate the characteristic L-shaped molecular structure. tRNAs have two regions of fundamental functional importance: the anti-codon, which is responsible for specific mRNA codon recognition, and the 3' end, to which the tRNAs corresponding amino acid is attached (by aminoacyl-tRNA synthetases). tRNAs cope with the degeneracy of the genetic code in two manners: having more than one tRNA (with a specific anti-codon) for a particular amino acid; and 'wobble' base-pairing, i.e. permitting non-standard base-pairing at the 3rd anti-codon position. The record is from RNAcentral. RNAcentral also lists the same sequence under 2 other names. Lineage: Bacteria; Pseudomonadati; Gemmatimonadota; Gemmatimonadia; Gemmatimonadales; Gemmatimonadaceae.